UGGUCACUGUCCUCUCCACCGUCUUGCUGGAUCCAUCCAAGAGGACUGCGAUGGAGGGAUAGUUAUGGCUGAAAGAGGUGUCGUUCUUGGGGCAUUUGCUGCUACUGUCGCCUGUGAUGUUUUGGAUUUGCUUGGAGGACUCCAUGUUGGGUGAAUGGAUUUCAAGUAAGCGAUGGUGCCACUGACGUGAGGGCACGCCAUGGAAGUUCCAGAGAGAAAAGUGUACUCCACGAACACUUCCUUUCCAUUGUCAGUGUCGGGGAUAUUGCUUGGCCAAGCUGCUAAGAUCUCGACUCCUGGAGCGGUAACGUCCGGCUGCAACGCGAGAUAAGUCACAAGCUUCAUGGUGCUGGCUUGUAAGGAAUCGUUGUUCCUCUGAGAAUUCGUGAUUUACGACUGCACAGAAA
Long non-coding RNA from Selaginella moellendorffii, 407 nucleotides. RefSeq lists it as uncharacterized. Lineage: Eukaryota; Viridiplantae; Streptophyta; Lycopodiopsida; Selaginellales; Selaginellaceae. The transcript is spliced from 3 exons. The record is from RefSeq and is a predicted model, not a curated record.